UCGGCGCCCAGGCGGCGUGACCUUCCCGGGCGUCCAGGGAAGCGGCGAGAGCUGCCACGCACGUGCCGCGGGACCCGCGCGCCGCCCAGGGAUGGCCCGCCGGGGUCGCUGGAGAAUCUCAGGGUCAUCGGCCUCCUUCCCCCAGUGCCUACCUGGAUAUGUGGUGCCUGUCAUAAGGUCCAGCGAGCUGCCUUCCACGAGACCAGCAGAAGAGUGGGCAAACGUGAAGUCCAGUCCUGCUGCCCAGGCUGCCAUUGACCUCACGGCGGGGGCUGCAGGGUAGUUAGAAACCACGCAAGAGAUCGCGGAGCCAAGGAGGCCGAAUAGGAACAGCUCCGGUCUACAGCUCCCAGUGUGAGCG
Molecule: long non-coding RNA, 361 nt
Filed under: Homo sapiens (human)
Lineage: Eukaryota; Metazoa; Chordata; Mammalia; Primates; Hominidae
Description: HSALNT0373474
Source: RNAcentral